ACGGACAAAAUGAUCAUAACGUAGAAAUUAAGUGCCGGAUAGAGCAGGCACGCAAGGCAUUGAUGAAGUUGCGCCACUCAGUGCAACCUAUCCUUAAAGAUCUCUACCAGGGUGCGUUUGCCUCGAUGCUAUGUUUUUUCGGUUCUUCUGUACGGUGUCGAAUCAUGGACCUUAACUCACAAUAGGAGCAAUCGAUUAGAGGCAUUUGAAAUGUGGGUGUACAGAAGAAUUCUAAGAAUAUCAUGGACGAAUAGUUUCUAAUGAAAGGCUUUUGCAGAUGGUCAACAAAGGGGCAGAAGUUUUAAAGAUAAUAAAGCAACGAAAACUGUAAUAUCAGGGACAUAUAAUAGGUGGGGAUAAGUACAAAUUGCUCCAACUAAUAAUACAGGGGAA
This 393-nucleotide unclassified non-coding RNA is filed under the name Melitaea cinxia (Glanville fritillary). RNAcentral describes it as "misc RNA ENSMCXG00005011287.1". Lineage: Eukaryota; Metazoa; Arthropoda; Insecta; Lepidoptera; Nymphalidae. The record is from RNAcentral.